AACGCACAUUGCGCCCCUUGGUAUUCCGAGGGGCAUGCCUGUUCGAGCGUCAUAACACCCCCUCCAGCUGCCUUUGUGUGGCUGCGGUGUUGGGGCACGUCGCGAUGCGGCGGCCCUUAAAGACAGUGGCGGUCCCGGCGUGGGCUCUACGCGUAGUAACUUGCUUCUCGCGACAGAGUGACGACGGUGGCUUGCCAGAACACCCCUCUUUUGCUCCAGUCACAUGGAUCACAGGUUGACCUCGAAUCAGGUAGGAAUACCCGCUGAACUUAA
This 273-nucleotide unclassified non-coding RNA is filed under the name uncultured Erysiphe. RNAcentral describes it as "sequence contains ITS2". The stretch from base 1 to 52 matches the Rfam family "5.8S ribosomal RNA", at positions 103 to 154 of the family's 154-position model. The record is from RNAcentral. Lineage: Eukaryota; Fungi; Ascomycota; Leotiomycetes; Helotiales; Erysiphaceae.